AUUGAACGCUGGCGGCAGGCUUAACACAUGCAAGUCGAGCGGGGUGAUGGUGCUUGCACUAUCACUUAGCGGCGGACGGGUGAGUAAUGCUUAGGAAUCUGCCUAUUAGUGGGGGACAACAUCUCGAAAGGGAUGCUAAUACCGCAUACGUCCUACGGGAGAAAGCAGGGGAUCACUUGUGACCUUGCGCUAAUAGAUGAGCCUAAGUCGGAUUAGCUAGUUGGUGGGGUAAAGGCCUACCAAGGCGACGAUCUGUAGCGGGUCUGAGAGGAUGAUCCGCCACACUGGGACUGAGAAACGGCCCAGACUCCUACGGGAGGCAGCAGUAGGGAAUAUUGGACAAUGGGGGGAACCCUGAUCCGGCCAUGCCGCGUGUGUGAAGAAGGCCUUAUGGUUGUAAAGCACUUUAAGCGAGGAGGAGGCUCUUUUGGUUAAUACCCAAGAUGAGUGGACGUUACUCGCAGAAUAAGCACCGGCUAACUCUGUGCCAGCCGCCGCAGUAA
RNAcentral lists this ribosomal RNA (503 nucleotides) under uncultured bacterium. RNAcentral describes it as "partial 16S ribosomal RNA". It matches the Rfam family "Bacterial small subunit ribosomal RNA", at positions 30 to 523 of the family's 1533-position model. The record is from RNAcentral.